Molecule: long non-coding RNA, 2020 nt
Filed under: Brassica napus (rape)
Lineage: Eukaryota; Viridiplantae; Streptophyta; Magnoliopsida; Brassicales; Brassicaceae
Description: long non-coding RNA (BNAP_LNC001042)
Source: RNAcentral
UCAUAAACAAUUUUUUCUUAAGUGGUCUUUAAUAGUAGAUAAAAAUAGGAAUUUAGAUCAGAAAUGCCGAGAGAAAAUCGAAGACAAUGGACCAAUCCCGAAAUAUCUUCUAUUAAUGGGCUCGGCCCAAUCCAACACAAAACAAAACCCAAAUCGAUCAAAACGUUGCGUUUUGUCUUCGCUUAUAACUCGAUUCAGAGACGAAAGGAGAGGCAGCAGCAGCAAGCGGCGGCCGUCAUGGAUUCAUCAUCGUCGAACACAAACAAAGCGUUAACGGAGACGCGUUUCUCCGACCUCGAACUUCCGCUCUCCGAAGACAUCAUCGAGGCCCUCGAACGGUCCGGUUUCGAGUUCUGCACUCCGGUUCAGGCCGCGACGAUCCCUUUGCUCUGCCGCCACAAGGAUGUCGCCGUCGACGCCGCCCUCGAGAACUACCGAUCGGUGACGACUCUCCAUGCGUCGGACGAUGAAGGAACCGUUGUGGUGGAGUCAUAUGUCGUCGAUGUGCCGCCGGGGAACACGGAGGAGGAGACUCUUAGCUUUGUGGAUACUAUCGUCCGGUGCAACCUUCAGAGUCUUGCUAGAAGUACCAACCGGCAAUAAUCUCGUCUGUAAAUUUAUUGCAAUUAUGUUAUGUAUAUGUUAUUAUUUUAAAUAAAAACAUUUCCUCUGGAUGUUUCAAUCAUCACAAGGAAGUGAAGUUCGAGAGAACCUAUUUGUAAAUUACUAGAUAGAUUUUUUUAGUUUUAAAAUAAUUGUAAUUUCGUGGGAUUUGUUUGAGUUGGCAGAUUUAUGUAGUUAAUACUGAAUCCAGAAAAGUUGGAUUUGGAGGUUGGUAUACGUAAUAACAUUCCGAGUUGAGUCUGUUACGUGGGAUGAUAGUUUCAUGAAUGUAUUAUAUACGCCGGUGGGAAAUUAAACACUUUUUUACAGAAUAUAUUUUCUUAAUUUUUAUAUACGUAAGGUACCAUAUACGUAGCUACACUGUAUUUAAGAUUAUGAUAUUUCUAAAAAAAAUUCUGAACACUAGAUUAUGAUAUUUCAGAGUGCUUAUGGAAAAUCUGAAAGUCUCUUGCAAGAUUCAAAAAUAAGAAAACAACAUUGAAAAUUUGAAAUUCUUAGUUAAAUGGUUCAACAUUGAUUGUUACGUUUAAUAUAAACUCUUAGUUAGAAUUGUUUGAGCCAGAUACAAAGAGAGAGAGGUGUUCAUGUAUGCCGGAUUGUAUGGAGACUACAGCUAGUUCAGUUGACCGGUUGAGCAAUCGUCCGACGAGGUUGAAUUUUAAAUGAGUGAUAAUUUAUUUAAAUAAAAUAAUUUUUAAAAAAGUUUUUUUUUGUUAAUUUAUCUAUUUAAUAUAUUUUCAUAUUUAAUUCAUAAAUCACUUCUGUUUUAUAUAAUACUGAAUAUAAUUAUAGAAUUUAUAAGAUAGGAUAGAAGUUUUAUUUUCUUGUUUUAAUAAUAUUAUAUUAUUAAUGAUGAAAUUAAUUAAUAUGUUAUUUUAUAAAAAUAUUUAAAAUUUUAGUAAGAUUUUGUUAGAUUUUUUCUUAAAUUUAUAGUUAAUUUAUUAUUAAUGCAAAUAGGUCAUAAACAAUUUUUUCUUAAGUGGUCUUUAAUAGUAGAUAAAAAUAGGAAUUUAGAUCAGAAAUGCCGAGAGAAAAUCGAAGACAAUGGACCAAUCCCGAAAUAUCUUCUAUUAAUGGGCUCGGCCCAAUCCAACACAAAACAAAACCCAAAUCGAUCAAAACGUUGCGUUUUGUCUUCGCUUAUAACUCGAUUCAGAGACGAAAGGAGAGGCAGCAGCAGCAAGCGGCGGCCGUCAUGGAUUCAUCAUCGUCGAACACAAACAAAGCGUUAACGGAGACGCGUUUCUCCGACCUCGAACUUCCGCUCUCCGAAGACAUCAUCGAGGCCCUCGAACGGUCCGGUUUCGAGUUCUGCACUCCGGUUCAGGCCGCGACGAUCCCUUUGCUCUGCCGCCACAAGGAUGUCGCCGUCGACGCCGCCACCGGCUCGGGAAAA